RNAcentral lists this ribosomal RNA (497 nucleotides) under uncultured bacterium. Its description in RNAcentral is "partial 16S ribosomal RNA". It matches the Rfam family "Bacterial small subunit ribosomal RNA", at positions 28 to 507 of the family's 1533-position model. The record is from RNAcentral.
GAUGAACGCUGGCGGCGUGCCUAAUACAUGCAAGUCGAGCGAACAGACGAGGAGCUUGCUCCUCUGACGUUAGCGGCGGACGGGUGAGUAACACGUGGAUAACCUACCUAUAAGACUGGGAUAACUUCGGGGAACCGGAGCUAAUACCGGAUAAUAUAUUGAACCGCAUGGUUCAAUAGUUAAAUACGGUUUUGCUGUCACUUAUAGAUUGAUCCGCGCCGCAUUAGCUAGUUGGUAAGGUAACGGCUUACCAAGGCAACGAUGCGUAGCCGACCUGAGAGGGGGAUCGGCCACACUGGAACUGAGACACGGUCCAGACUACUACGGGAGGCAGCAGUAGGGAAUCUUACGCAAUGGGCGAAAGCCUGACGGAGCAACGCCGCGUGAGUGAUGAAGGUCUUCGGAUCGUAAAACUCUGUUAUGAGGGAAGAACAAAUGUGUAAGUAACUAUGCACGUCUUGACGGUACCUAAUCAGAAAGCCACGGCUAACUACGUG